GCAUAUCAAUAAGCGGAGGAAAGAACACAGGGAUACUCAGUACGGCGAGUGAAGCGGUAAAAGCUCAAAUUUGAAAUCUGGCUYUUUCAGAGUCCGAGUUGUAAUUUGUAGAAGAUGCUUCGGGUGUGGUUCCGGUCUAAGUUCCUUGGAACAGGACGUCAUAGAGGGUGAGAAUCCCGUAUGUGACUGGAUACCUAUGCUCAUGUGAAGCUCUUUCGACGAGUCGAGUUGUUUGGGAAUGCAGCUCAAAAUGGGUGGUAUAUUUCAUCUAAAGCUAAAUAUUGGCCAGAGACCGAUAGCGCACAAGUAGAGUGAUCGAAAGAKGAAAAGCACUUUGGAAAGAGAGUUAAACAGUACGUGAAAUUGUUGAAAGGGAAGCGCUUGCAAUCAGACUUGCACUUGGUGUUCAUCAGGGUUUCGUGCCCUGUGUACUUCAUCAAGUUCAGGCCAGCAUCAGUUUGAGUGGUUAGAUAAAGGCUUGGAGAAUGUGGCCCUCUUCGGGGGGUGUUAUAGCUCCAGGUGCAAUGUAGCCUACUUGGACUGAGGACCGCGCUUCGGCUAGGAUGCUGGCGUAAUGGUUGUAAGCGACCCGUCUUGAAACACGGACCAAGGAGUGUACCUAAUAUGCGAGUGUUUGGGUGUUAAACCCAUACGCGUAAUGAAAGUGAACGCUGGUGAGAACCCUUAAGGGUGCAUCAUCGACCRAUCUUGAUGUCUUCGGAUGGAUUUGAGUAAGAGCAUAUUGGGUGCGACCCGAAAGAUGAUGAUCUAUACGUGAAUAGGGUGAAGCCAGAGGAAACUCUGGUGGAGGCUCGCAGCGGUUCUGACGUGCAAAUCGAUCGUCAAAUUUGCGUAUAGGGGCGAAAGACUAWUCGAAUCAUUAAGGAAUAGACCAAGCUCUAGGUGAUWGAGAAAMCCCUUUGGGGUAUUAGUCCUGGAGACAGGGCGACAUUGUCAAAUUGUUCGGGGACCACUGUUAAAUUAUAUGCUAC
RNAcentral lists this ribosomal RNA (992 nucleotides) under Monilinia mespili. RNAcentral describes it as "LSU rRNA". It matches the Rfam family "Eukaryotic large subunit ribosomal RNA", at positions 38 to 1418 of the family's 3401-position model. Lineage: Eukaryota; Fungi; Ascomycota; Leotiomycetes; Helotiales; Sclerotiniaceae. The record is from RNAcentral.